GGGAGAAAGUAGACACUAUGACA
RNAcentral lists this non-coding RNA (23 nucleotides) under Cricetulus griseus (Chinese hamster). Lineage: Eukaryota; Metazoa; Chordata; Mammalia; Rodentia; Cricetidae. The record is from RNAcentral.